GAGUUUGAUCCUGGCUCAGGAUGAACGCUGGCGGCGUGCCUAACACAUGCAAGUCGAAUGGAGUUGAAAGGAGCUUGCUUUUUUCAACUCAGUGGCGGACGGGUGAGUAACGCGUGAGUAACCUGCCUUUCAGAGGGGGAUAACGUUCUGAAAAGAACGCUAAUACCGCAUAAGAUUGUAGUUUCGCAUGGAGCAGCAAUCAAAGGAGCAAUCCGCUGAAAGAUGGACUCGCGUCCGAUUAGAUAGUUGGCGGGGUAACGGCCCACCAAGUCGACGAUCGGUAGCCGGACUGAGAGGUUGAUCGGCCACAUUGGGACUGAGACACGGCCCAGACUCCUACGGGAGGCAGCAGUGAGGGAUAUUGGGCAAUGGGGGAAACCCUGAUGCAGCAACGCCGCGUGAGUGAAGAAGUAUUUCGGUAUGUAAAGCUCUAUCAGCAGGGAAGAUAAUGACGGUACCUGACUAAGAAGCUCCGGCUAAAUACGUGCCAGCCGCCCGGUAAUUC
RNAcentral lists this ribosomal RNA (505 nucleotides) under uncultured bacterium. RNAcentral describes it as "bacterial SSU rRNA". It matches the Rfam family "Bacterial small subunit ribosomal RNA", at positions 9 to 526 of the family's 1533-position model. The record is from RNAcentral.